This 375-nucleotide ribosomal RNA is filed under the name uncultured bacterium. Its description in RNAcentral is "bacterial SSU rRNA". It matches the Rfam family "Bacterial small subunit ribosomal RNA", at positions 525 to 896 of the family's 1533-position model. The record is from RNAcentral.
ACGAAGGUCCCGAGCGUUGUUCUGAAUCACUGGGCGUAAAGGGAGCGUAGGCGGCGUGGUAAGUCAGACGUGAAAGCCCGGGGGCUCAACCCCGGAACUGCGUCCGAUGCUGCCGUGCUUUGAGGGUUGGAGAGGUAGCUGGAAUUCUUGGUGUAGCAGUGAAAUGCGUGGAGAUCAAGAGGAACACUCGUGGCGAAAGCGAGCUACUGGACAACACCUGACGCUGAGGCUCGAAGGCCAGGGUAGCGAAAGGGAUUAGAUACCCCUGUAGUCCUGGCAGUAAACGGUGCACGCUUGGUGUGGGAGGACUCGACCCCUCCUGUGCCGGAGCAAACGCGUUAAGCGUGCCGCCUGGGAAGUACGGUCGCAAGGCUA